This 1028-nucleotide ribosomal RNA is filed under the name Gamszarea microspora. RNAcentral's name for it is "SSU rRNA". It matches the Rfam family "Eukaryotic small subunit ribosomal RNA", at positions 68 to 1108 of the family's 1831-position model. Lineage: Eukaryota; Fungi; Ascomycota; Sordariomycetes; Hypocreales; Cordycipitaceae. The record is from RNAcentral.
AGCAAUUAUACAGCGAAACUGCGAAUGGCUCAUUAUAUAAGUUAUCGUUUAUUUGAUAGUACCUUACUACUUGGAUAACCGUGGUAAUUCUAGAGCUAAUACAUGCUAAAAAUCCCGACUUCGGAAGGGAUGUAUUUAUUAGAUUAAAAACCAAUGCCCUCUGGGCUCUUUGGUGAUUCAUGAUAACUUUUCGAAUCGCACGGCCUUGCGCCGGCGAUGGUUCAUUCAAAUUUCUUCCCUAUCAACUUUCGAUGUUUGGGUAUUGGCCAAACAUGGUUGCAACGGGUAACGGAGGGUUAGGGCUCGACCCCGGAGAAGGAGCCUGAGAAACGGCUACUACAUCCAAGGAAGGCAGCAGGCGCGCAAAUUACCCAAUCCCGACACGGGGAGGUAGUGACAAUAAAUACUGAUACAGGGCUCUUUUGGGUCUUGUAAUUGGAAUGAGUACAAUUUAAAUCCCUUAACGAGGAACAAUUGGAGGGCAAGUCUGGUGCCAGCAGCCGCGGUAAUUCCAGCUCCAAUAGCGUAUAUUAAAGUUGUUGUGGUUAAAAAGCUCGUAGUUGAACCUUGGGCCUGGCUGGCCGGUCCGCCUCACCGCGUGUACUGGUCCGGCCGGGCCUUUCCCUCUGUGGAACCUCAUGCCCUUCACUGGGUGUGACGGGGAAACAGGACUUUUACUUUGAAAAAAUUAGAGUGCUCCAGGCAGGCCUAUGCUCGAAUACAUUAGCAUGGAAUAAUGAAAUAGGACGUGUGGUUCUAUUUUGUUGGUUUCUAGGACCGCCGUAAUGAUUAAUAGGGACAGUCGGGGGCAUCAGUAUUCAAUUGUCAGAGGUGAAAUUCUUGGAUUUAUUGAAGACUAACUACUGCGAAAGCAUUUGCCAAGGAUGUUUUCAUUAAUCAGGAACGAAAGUUAGGGGAUCGAAGACGAUCAGAUACCGUCGUAGUCUUAACCAUAAACUAUGCCGACUAGGGAUCGGACGAUGUUAUUUUUUGACGCGUUCGGCACCUUACGAGAAAUCAAAGUGCUU